This 74-nucleotide transfer RNA is filed under the name Stegodyphus mimosarum. It matches the Rfam family "tRNA". From Rfam's summary of the family: Transfer RNA (tRNA) molecules are approximately 80 nucleotides in length. Their secondary structure includes four short double-helical elements and three loops (D, anti-codon, and T loops). The record is from Rfam by way of RNAcentral. Lineage: Eukaryota; Metazoa; Arthropoda; Arachnida; Araneae; Eresidae.
GCCUUCGUGGUGCAAUUGGAAAACACGUCCAACUUGCAAGCGGAAGGUCCUGAGCCUGAGUCCCAGUGAGGGCA